RNAcentral lists this ribosomal RNA (660 nucleotides) under Spadella cephaloptera. RNAcentral's name for it is "12S ribosomal RNA". Lineage: Eukaryota; Metazoa; Chaetognatha; Sagittoidea; Phragmophora; Spadellidae. The record is from RNAcentral.
GCUUUGUGGAUGCUUUAAGUACAACUUCCGUUACACUUACUUUGUUUCGACUUACUCCACAGAGGAAUUGACGGGCGAUGUGAGCUAAGCAAAGGAAUUUUUCUUUCAGAUUUUGAAAUACUAUCUAAUCCUGAAAUAAUAAUCGUCUUUCAAAUUUUAAUUUUUUUUUCUUUUCAAAGGUAAGGCAUUAGGGCCUGUUGUGCACCAGCUUUUUAAAAUUCUAGUUUAAACGGCAAUACACCAUUUUUUUACUUUGUUUGAACAGUGGGUUAUCGGAUUUCAAAAGCCUCAGAGAAAUCUGCUUCCGCCAGGUUUUUUAAGUUUAGAUAAUUUUACUGCUCAAAAUUUUUAUCUGUUUUACAGCGGUAUCUAAUCGCUUUUAUUUUUUUCAGAUUUAUAGUGGGACAAAUAAUAAAUAUUUUUUAAUUUUAUCUAUAUUUUAUUUUUUUAAAAGAUCGUUUUUCCUUAAUAAUUUUGUCUUUUUAGGGACCGUCUAGCCGCGGCUGCUGGCACGGUGAUUUUCCCCUAGAAUUUUUACUCAUUCUAAAAUAAUUUUAAAAUUUUCUGCACUGGGAUAAUUUAAAAAAUAAUUUUUAUUUUUUUUUCCUUUCUACCCAUGUACUUAACCCCAACUUUCGGGUAUAUCCGAAACAAAAAUAC